ACGGGGUGCAGCAGGCGCGAAAACUUUACAAUGCGGGAAACCGUGAUAAGGGAAUCUCGAGUGCCAGCAUAUAAUGUUGGCUGUCCAGAUGCCCAAAAAGCAUCUGUUAGCAAGGGCCGGGCAAGACCGGUGCCAGCCGCCGCGGUAACACCGGCGGCCCAAGUGGUAACCGCUUUUAUUGGGUCUAAAGGGUCUGUAGCCGGCCAUGUAAGUCCCUUGGGAAAUCUGGCAGCUCAACUGUCAGGCUGCUAGGGGAUACUGCUUGGCUUGGGACCGGGAGAGGUGAGAGGUACCUUGAGGGUAGGGGUGAAAUCUUGUGAUCCUCGGGGGACCACCAGUGGCGAAGGCGUCUCACCAGAACGGGUCCGACGGUAAGGAACGAAAGCUAGGGGCACGAACCGGAUUAGAUACCCGGGUAGUCCUAGCCGUAAACGAUGCUCGCUAGGUGUCAGUCACGGUGCGACCGUGAUUGGUGCCGUAGGGAAGCCGUGAAGCGAGCCACCUGGGAAGUACGGCCGCAAGGCUGAAACUUAAAGGAAUUGGCGGGGGAGCA
RNAcentral lists this ribosomal RNA (553 nucleotides) under uncultured archaeon. RNAcentral describes it as "bacterial SSU rRNA". It matches the Rfam family "Archaeal small subunit ribosomal RNA", at positions 325 to 878 of the family's 1478-position model. The record is from RNAcentral.